Molecule: long non-coding RNA, 594 nt
Filed under: Mustela putorius furo (domestic ferret)
Lineage: Eukaryota; Metazoa; Chordata; Mammalia; Carnivora; Mustelidae
Description: lncRNA (ENSMPUG00000026840.1)
Source: RNAcentral
UCUUCUCCAGCUAGUACUUCCAGAUCUUUAAAUAACUCUUUUCCCUUAUUUUUCUACCAGGUUCCAAAGCACAGAUGAGAAGAACCAAAGCUGAAGUUAAGCAAUCUGAUGGCCAUCCCAGCAGAACAAAAAGCCCAAGCAAGAAGAGCAGCAGGCAGAGGGAGAAGCAAGCUCUCUGCUGAGCAAGGAACUCUAUCCCAGGACCCUGGAAUCAUGAUCUGAGCCAAAAGCAGAUGCUUAAUCAAAUGAGCCAUUCAGCUCCCUGGUGCUAAUCUUGGUUCUCUUUGACCAGUGUACAUUACCAUCCUCAGUGCUAAUCAAUGGAUUUUUUUUGUCUGUUUAUUAUUUAUUUAAUUUCUGGGAAUGUAGUACUAAUUAUGGGAGUGUUGCUGAGGAUGAAAGGUUGAGGCGGAAGUUUACAGGAAUUGGGAAGUUAUUUUUCUCCUUUUGUUUCAAGUCACUCUGAUGAUUUAGGGCUACUUUACUGAUGAGAAUUUGGAAUGAACCAUCAUGGGCUCUUUCUCACAUUGAGAUUUUAUAGGAUUUUUAAUUGAGAAAUUGUUUCAUAAUACUAUAGAAUAUUGGAUUAGCAAA